Molecule: long non-coding RNA, 295 nt
Filed under: Elaeis guineensis (African oil palm)
Lineage: Eukaryota; Viridiplantae; Streptophyta; Magnoliopsida; Arecales; Arecaceae
Description: long non-coding RNA (EGUI_LNC050888)
Source: RNAcentral
GACCCAGACUUAAUCCUAUUAGGCUGGUCAAUUAUUAGCUUUCAUGAUCCCACCUAACCAACUCUUGAUUCGGUUUGAUCAACCGCUAGACCUAAUUGAGCUACCAAGCCCGAACCCAAUUUUAUGAAAAUAUCUUAGAUCUGAAAUUCUCAAUUUUAGACCUAAUUUAAUUUCAUAAACUUAAUACAUUAAUUAAGUUUGGGUUCAUAAACAAAGCAUGUAUAAUAAAUCCUAGGAUUUCAGGAUCUAGGAUUUUACAGAAAAGUAAGUUUUGAUUUCUGAUUAAGGAUGAACG